Molecule: non-coding RNA, 4192 nt
Organism: Chiloscyllium plagiosum (whitespotted bambooshark)
Lineage: Eukaryota; Metazoa; Chordata; Chondrichthyes; Orectolobiformes; Hemiscylliidae
Source: RefSeq, a predicted model, not a curated record
GUCGGACCGCAGUCCGCGUCUGCGCGUUUCGACCUUCACCUUGGCGGAUAAUCAUGGCGACGGACUCGUGGGCGCUGGCGGUGGAUCUGCAGGAGUCGGCAGCCGAGUCGCUGAGCAACCUAAAGCUGAAAGAAGAAACUUCAAAUGCUGAACCUAAAGAAGCAACGGUAAAGCACGAUCCAUCUGACAAACUGGACAAAACCGCUAAACUCGACAAAAGUGGUGAUAAUUUGGAAGUCAAGCAAGACGAUGAUGAUAAAGAGGAUAAGGCUGCCCAGUCUCUGUUGAAUAAGCUAAUCCGCAGUAAUCUGGUUCAAUCGACACAUCAAGUUGAAGUACUCCAGAGAGAUCCAAAUUCCCCUCUAUACUCUGUGAAGUCAUUUGAAGAACUACAUUUGAAAAAAGAUCUUCUGCAAGGAGUCUAUGGAAUGGGAUUUAACAGGCCUUCAAAGAUCCAGGAGACCGCGUUACCCAUGAUGCUUGCAGAACCCCCUCAGAAUUUGAUUGCACAGUCUCAGUCAGGUACUGGUAAGACAGCUGCCUUUGUUCUGGCCAUGCUCAGUCGUGUAGAUCUCUCCCAAAGGCACCCACAGUGUUUAUGCCUUUCUCCAACCUAUGAACUGGCUUUGCAGACUGGGCAGGUUAUUGAACAAAUGGGAAAGUACUGUCCUGAUAUCAAGCUAGCUUAUGCAGUUCGAGGCAACAGACUUGAGAAGGGUCAGAAGAUUUCAGAACAAAUUGUUAUUGGCACACCCGGGACAGUUAUGGAUUGGUGCACAAAACUGAGAUUCAUAGAUACCAAGAAAAUUAAAGUUUUUGUCCUAGAUGAGGCUGAUGUCAUGAUUGCAACUCAAGGCCACCAAGACCAGAGCAUUAGAAUUCAGAGAAUGUUGCCUAAAGACUGUCAGAUGCUGCUAUUCUCAGCUACAUUUGAAGAGUCUGUGUGGAAAUUUGCCCAAAAGGUUGUUCCAGAGCCUAAUAUUAUCAAGUUGAGGCGGGAGGAAGAAACCUUAGAUACAAUUAAACAAUAUUAUGUCCUUUGUGACAACAAAGAAGAGAAAUACCAUGCUCUGUGCAAUAUUUAUGGAGCGAUUACCAUAGCACAGGCCAUGAUCUUCUGUCAUACUCGCAAGACUGCUGGUUGGCUGGCAGCUGAAUUGUCUAAAGAGGGUCAUCAAGUAGCACUGCUAAGUGGAGAGAUGAUGGUAGAGCAACGAGCCGCUGUGAUCCAGCGCUUCCGGGAUGGCAAAGAGAAAGUACUUGUCACAACUAAUGUCUGCGCAAGAGGAAUUGAUGUUGAGCAGGUCUCCGUCGUCAUAAACUUUGACCUUCCAGUGGAUAAAGAUGGUAAUCCAGAUUGCGAGACAUACCUUCACAGAAUUGGACGAACAGGUCGUUUUGGCAAACGUGGCUUGGCCAUUAACAUGGUGGACAGUAAAUACAGCAUGAAUAUCCUCAACCGAAUCCAAGAUCAUUUCAAGGAGGAGGUACUGAAUGUCUUGAAACGCAUAAAAGUGGAUAAAUCCCCAGGACCUGUUGAGGUGUACUCUCGAACUCUGUGAGAAGCGGUUGCUGGACCCCUUGCUGAGGUAUUUGUAUCAUCAAUAGCCCCAGACAAGAGAAUUGAAAAGCUUGAUACAGAUGACCUUGAUGAGAUUGAAAGGAUUGCUAACUGAAGUGCAACAGGCUGAACUAGUUUAAACCCUUCUGAACCCUGUGACAACGUGCACUGCCCAGCUGCAAUUGGACUUUUGGACUUGGAAUCCAUUGGGUUAUUCUGCAGCCAAUUUUAAGAAUAGACUGACAGAAUCAAAUUAUGUUGAAUUUACCUCAUUUAAAACUUUGCAGUUGGACUGUAAAAUUUUAUACUUUUCCUUCAAGUGAAUAAAACAUGCCAGGAAAAUGUUUACAUUUGAAAUGUUCAACAUGCUUUAUAAAGUUUCUCUUAGUUAACCUUUAAAAACAAAAAAUAGAAAUAAAAUUUGAAUUGCCAAACUGAAAAAGUAGGAGUUGUAACAAUGUUAAGGAAGAAUGGCCUUUUCCAAUAGGUGGACUGCAUUUUAAUGGGUUACAAGCAUAGGUAUAAAAAUGGAUGCUUAAAUUAAUUGAAAAAAAUUGGUCUUACGCAAAAAUGCCAUGACACUCUAACACUUCAUGAUUAUCCUUCAUUAUUUUGCAUACGAAUUAGAGAAUGUAUUGGGUUUUUACUGUCACUUCAGCUGUGACGAAUUGUUAAUUUAGCUUUAUUUCAGAUGUGAUUUACUCAUGACUAGCUUUCUCCUAGAUCAGUGAAAUUAUUUUUGAUUUAGUUAUUAAGCCCAUACCUUUUAUUCAGAAGUAUCUUCAGUUAUACUCAGCCUAAAGUUACUGCAGACUGAAAAUAAACACUCUUGUCAUAGUGCCACAUCAAAACCUCCAGAACUUCUUGAUAAUAAUUUGCUUUAUUGUUAGGGAUUCAAAAAAAUAAAUAAUUAAAGCUAAUAAUAACAUUUAAAAAUUCCCAGUACCUUAAAUAAGAAAAGUAAUUGUUUAACUAUAGUUCCUUUAAUAUUGAAAUGCUCAUAAGGAAAUUUAAGUUCUUGAUAUGAAUUGCGAAUCUGGUUUGAUUUUUACUUAAUGUUUGAAAGCUUGGGGAAGAGUAGCAUUGCUGGGCUGAAAUAAUUUAUGUUGAACAGUGAAACUUUGGACACAAAUCAAACUAAAAAUGCUCUUCAAAUAAGUAAUAUUACAUUAGCAUGUAAAGUGCUUUGCUCAAUUUAAGAGCUAGCAGGUGAUUUGUUUUUGAGAUUGCUGCACUGAAUGAACCUAUUCUAUAUAAUGAGCUCUGAAUGUCAUCUUAUGUAAGUUAUAGCUGCACAAAUAAUCUGUACCUUUGUCAGCCUUUAGAUUUGUAUCCAUUUUAUGCUGAAAAUGCUUGCGUGUGCUGCAAUGAGUAUAAACCAGAAACUAUUCACUGAAUUUUAGAAUUGGGAUAGCUUUGUAGACAUAUGUACCCUUCCGUUAAACAUGAGCCUUUUAUAUUGAAUGCUUAUGUUUGAAUUGACUUGUGAAAGUAUCUUUGCCAUACAAUAUCCUACUGUACAAGGAAGGUGGCUAGAAAAACCAAUGAAUUUGAGGUUUGACGUAACAAUCUAGUCAGACUUCUGCAGUAUGUGAACAUCAAUUCACCAGUGUAUUAUUUAUCACUGAUACAAGGUCCACAUUUAUUGAAUGGUUAACAUUCCUAUCAAUUAAAUUUCUACAUAGGCCAACUAUUUUUAAACCAUUUCACAAAAAAAAGUAUUCCUUAAAUAUGAGUUUGGAAGUCCACAUUUUUAUAUUUCUGUUGGAAAGCAGAGAUUGGAUCACUAUUCCUGCUUGUGAAUGAAGUCCCUGCUUGAAUCUUUAUUCUUUUUGUGUCUUGGAUAUGUUCAACAGUUACUUUGAGGUAACUGUCAUUGCAGUAUACCAGCUUUACUGGCACAUUCUUUUUUUAAAAAAAAAUUAGUGUUAAAAGACAAGUAAUUUGAAGAGCAUAGCAAUUUUAUUUAAAAAGGGAAUUCCUGGUUUGGCAAAAGAUUAUUUGCAAUUUAUGGCCAGCUGUUGAAAAUCUUACUGUUUAUAUUUCUCAAGUAAUGUCUUCAAUUGGUGACUGUUGCAGCUUUACAUACUGAAAACUGGUUAAAGAUCACACCCCACAUUGGAAGUGUUUAAAAAUUUGGGGUAAGGAACUAAAAAUACAGUCUGAGAAAAUAAAAUACUUAUUCUUAUGCAAUAUAUUGGCUGUAUAAUUCUGUUCAAAUACAGGAACAAAUGAAACUUUUACCAAGUAAAAAUUGAAACUAAUUUGAGAUUGUACCUAAAGUUUUAGGAAAAUUUGACAAAAUGCCCUCUCUUCAAAUAUUUGUAUAUGAACUUUACCUUGCAAUGACUGUGCAGCUUAAAUUACUGUAUUGAAUUUUGUACGAUAGGGUGUAUGCAUUUGUACGCAAUGCAUUUUUAUUUGGUUGUGAGCUGGAUUGUAAUUGGAAAUAUUGAAACUGCAGAAAUGAAUGAGUGCUUUGAGUGUCAUAAUGAAUUUGAGAUUGAAAUGCCUCUAAUUUUACAAACUAUAAAAGAUCUUUGAAAGCCCUUACAACAAAGGAAACUAAUUUUGCUGAUUGGUUUCCGUAUUACUCUUAUGUACUAUUUGGAAUAAAGAGUCAGUACGUCA